This 74-nucleotide transfer RNA is filed under the name Actinoplanes regularis. RNAcentral describes it as "tRNA-Arg". It matches the Rfam family "tRNA". Rfam says of the family: Transfer RNA (tRNA) molecules are approximately 80 nucleotides in length. Their secondary structure includes four short double-helical elements and three loops (D, anti-codon, and T loops). The record is from RNAcentral. RNAcentral also lists the same sequence under 1 other name. Lineage: Bacteria; Bacillati; Actinomycetota; Actinomycetes; Micromonosporales; Micromonosporaceae.
GUCUCCGUAGCUCAGCGGAAAGAGCACCAGACUACGAAUCUGGGGGUCGGGAGUUCAAAUCUCUCCGGGGACGC